UAGGGGUUCGAUCAUGGGCUCAGAACGUACGCUGGCGGCACGCCUAACACAUGCAAAGCCGAACGCAGUAGCAAUACUGAGUGGCAGACGGGUGAGUAUAAUGUGGGAAUCUGCCUUUUGGUUUGGAAUAACACGGGGAAACUUGUGCUAAUACCGAAUAAGCCCUUACGGGGAAAGUUUUAACGCCGAAAGAUGAGCCCGCACUUGAUUAGCUAGUUGGUAAGGUAAAAGCUUACCAAGGCAACGAUCAAUAGCUGUUCUUAGAGGAAGACCAGCCACAUUGGGACUGAGACACGGCCCAGACUCCUACGGGAGGCAGCGGUGGGGAAUCUUGCACGGUGAAGAAACCCUGAUGCAGCGAUGCCGCGUGAGUGAAGAAGGCCUUUGGGUUGUAAAACUCUUUCGUCGGGGAAGAAAAUGACUGUACCCGAAUAAGAAGGUCCGGCUAACUUCGUGCCAGCAGCCGCGGUAAUACA
This 476-nucleotide ribosomal RNA is filed under the name uncultured Pelagibacterales bacterium. RNAcentral describes it as "bacterial SSU rRNA". It matches the Rfam family "Bacterial small subunit ribosomal RNA", at positions 1 to 527 of the family's 1533-position model. Lineage: Bacteria; Pseudomonadati; Pseudomonadota; Alphaproteobacteria; Candidatus Pelagibacterales. The record is from RNAcentral.